UUCCCUUGAGCCCUUCUUGCGUUUUCGUAGAGUUUCUUUUCACUCUUUGUGGAGUUUCUUUUCACUCUGAAACAAAUUUUCCCCCUCACCCUAAAGUUUAAAUUUUCGCCACUUCGGUUUUCCGCCCCAGUUUCAGUUCCGAAUUUUCGCCCAAGUUUCACUUCCGAUUUUUGUUUUAUUUUGUUGGGUUUAGCUUUUCUGCGUUUUGGAAUAAAACGAGAUUGGCCAGAAAUCCUUUAUCUGUUAUUUCUUUUCAAAUUCGCGAAUACCAUCUCUUACUCUCUUCUUUUUUCUUGCUAUUCUUUCCUUUCAUUCAAGAAAACCGCAAACCCUAAAUCAAGGAAAAGGGAAUUUUUGGGUGCGGCGAGGUAGAGAGUGAAAUUAAUGCUAGAAGGAAAAACGAAAAAGCGAUUGAAAUUAAAGGAGGAUUCUAGGGUUCGAGAAUUCCUAUUUGGGGAGUGAGGAGUGGCUGGCGAUAAUAGGGAGGAGAGUUUCGGUUUUAAAAGUGGUGGCACGAGGUUAGGGAGAGGGAACCAGUGAGUAUCGUGAGGUCAACCAUUAGGGUUCUAUUUGAGGUUCAGAAGGGGUUUUAUUUAAGGACGGUGAGGAGUGAGUUGUGAGCACAGAAAGAGAUUGCUUUAAGAAGUCAGAGGGAGAACUAGGUAGUGGAGAACGAGGAGUGCACAGUGACCUGAGAGUUAACGAUGAAGAGAAAUUAACCAGAAAGUUAUAUAUUGUUGAUGCACGGCCAAGAAAAAAUGCAUUGGCUAAUGGAGCCAUGGGAGGUGGUUCAAAAAUCAUCAUCAAACUAUUUUCAAUCCGAGUCUUGUUGGGGAUAGACAACAUCCAUGCGAUGAGAGACAGAUUUGUUCGGCUUCGAGAAUACAUGGACACUUAUUUCAAAGCGUCAUCAGAUGGAAUUUCCUCUUUCUUGUGUCCAAGACAACCCAACGACAAUGAUUGUGGGUAUUACGUGUGUUAAUAUAUGAAGGAAAUUAUCACAUAAUGUGAAAGAGGAACAAUUCUACCUGAUUAUUUUUCUAGUUACAAAUGUCAAUAAUAGUGUGAAAGUCAAAUCAUUGAAAUUAGGAAAAAUUAGUGUUUACAUGUGACUACUACAUGCUUAUUGAUUAUGUUAUGGUGAUGUACAUGC
Molecule: long non-coding RNA, 1153 nt
Organism: Vigna angularis (adzuki bean)
Lineage: Eukaryota; Viridiplantae; Streptophyta; Magnoliopsida; Fabales; Fabaceae
Exons: 5
Source: RefSeq, a predicted model, not a curated record